GUGGAUAUGGUGAAGCGGUUAACACACCGGAUUGUGGCUCCGGCAUGCGUGGGUUCAAGUCCCACUAUCCACCCCA
RNAcentral lists this transfer RNA (76 nucleotides) under Peptococcaceae bacterium. RNAcentral describes it as "tRNA-His". It matches the Rfam family "tRNA". From Rfam's summary of the family: Transfer RNA (tRNA) molecules are approximately 80 nucleotides in length. Their secondary structure includes four short double-helical elements and three loops (D, anti-codon, and T loops). Lineage: Bacteria; Bacillati; Bacillota; Clostridia; Eubacteriales; Peptococcaceae. The record is from RNAcentral.